AUGGAUCUCAACCUCAACCUUCUAAGGAGUAAUUGUGUGAUUUUUUAGUAAAAUAAUUUUAUUUGAAAUUGUGUGAUUUUUUAGUAAAAAAUAAUGAGUCUUAGGAAAUAUGUGUUGCUAAUAAGAAAUGAAAAAUAAUGCAGCAAAUGGUGGAGAUGCAAUAUUCGAUGUUGAUUUCUGGCCUGAAGCUAAUUUCUUGAGAAGAGCCAUUCGCUUCUUGAUUGGCAAUCCUGACAUGGCUCUUGUUCAAGCUCGUUGGAGAUUUGGAGAAAGCACCAUGGGAAUUGAAAAGUAACGAGAAAAUUGAUACAACUAAAAGGAAGAAAGAAGAAGGCAAUAUGAUAUUUAAAGGUUGCAAGUGUGAGCGGGUAGCCUAGAAGUAUGAUAAGGCUGCUAAUUAUGCUAGUGAAGAUGGAUGGUUUGGGGAUGAUGAGGAAAAACAAAAAGCUAAAGCACUAAGAGUGUCAUGCUGGUUGAAUGGUGCAGCUUGUUGCCUUAAACUUAACGACUUUCCUGGAGCAAUCAAGUUAUGUUCACAGGUAAACAGCCAAUUAAAGUCAUGUGUAGGAAUAAGAUUUAAAGUUUUGUUAUUCAGUUAGCAGAUUGCUAUUUGAAUAGUGAAUAUGAUAAAAUGUGGGGGAGAGAAGUGAUGACAAGUUGUAUGCUUCUGGUAAAGCUAAUAGAGAGGUUCUGGCAACAAAAAUAGUUCCAGUUAGAGUCCUAGUGUGCUAUUUAGUAGACAGGUUCUAUGAAUUAAAUUUAGUUACUUGAAGUAAACUUUCUUUGCAAAUUCUCUUCCAACUAUUUUAUUGUCUGCUGGGGACUCGUGUGAAUUUUGGAAAGGAAUACACUACUUUCUUAACUUCUAGUUUAAUAAUGAUAGUGCUUAAACAAAAAUGACUACCACAAGAUGAGCAUUAAGGAUUGUUGGAUUGGCAUAUAAUGAAUAUGUUCAGGUCAGAAGUGACCAGCUAUGGGGGACUGAUGUCUAUAGAUAUGACUCAGAUCUUGUUGCAGGUACGUAUUAUUAUAAAAAGGGGGCUACUAGUUUUGAUUACUAAGUGACAAAUUUAACAUGGUUGAAAUUAUUACUGAUUUUGCAAUUUAUUGUAUAGUUCUCAUGCAUACAGGUUACUGUUUUCCAACAGCUUCUCCA
Arachis duranensis is the source of this 1156-nucleotide long non-coding RNA. RefSeq lists it as uncharacterized. Lineage: Eukaryota; Viridiplantae; Streptophyta; Magnoliopsida; Fabales; Fabaceae. The record is from RefSeq and is a predicted model, not a curated record. The transcript has 3 exons.